Macaca mulatta (Rhesus monkey) is the source of this 80-nucleotide non-coding RNA. NCBI's taxonomy places the organism in Eukaryota, Metazoa, Chordata, Mammalia, Primates, Cercopithecidae. The record is from Rfam.
AAUGAAGGAUUAUGGACCAGCUAAGGAAGGCAUUAGGAUCCUUUUUCUUGCCUCCCUUAGUUGGACCCUAAUCCUUCGUU